GUAAUUGGAAUGAAUAGAAUUCAAAUUCCUUUACGAGGAUCAAUUGGAGGGCAAGUCUGGUGCCAGCAGCCGCGGUAAUUCCAGCUCCAAUAGCGUAUAUUAAAGUUGUUGCAGUUAAAAAGCUCGUAGUUGCGUUUCUGUUGGGAGGGAUCGUUCCUUGCCUCUGGCUUGGAUUCGUAUCGUCUCCUGACAUCCUUGGGUGGAGCCAUUCUGGCAUUAAGUUGUCGGGGUGGGGAUGCCCAUCAUUUACUGUGAAAAAAUUAGAGUGUUCAAAGCAGGCUUACGCCGUUGAAUAUAUUAGCAUGGGAUAAUAAGAUAGGACUUUGGUACUAUUUUGUUGGUUUGCGCACCAGAGUAAUGACGAAUAGGGACAGUUGGGGGUAUUCGUAUUCAGUUGUCAGAGGUGAAAUUCUUAGAUUUAUUGAAGACGAACUACUGCGAAAGCAUUUACCAAGGAUGUUUUCAUUAAUCAAGAACGAAAGUAUGGGGAUCGAAGAUGAUCAGAUACCGUCGUAGUCUAUACCAUAAACAAUACCGACUCAGGAUAGGC
This 550-nucleotide ribosomal RNA is filed under the name uncultured diatom. RNAcentral describes it as "SSU rRNA". It matches the Rfam family "Eukaryotic small subunit ribosomal RNA", at positions 505 to 1057 of the family's 1831-position model. Lineage: Eukaryota; Bacillariophyta. The record is from RNAcentral.